CUAAACUGUGCAGCCAGGAAGUGGCCUCCUCUACACACGUCAAAGGGAGGUAUUCCAUGGCCCUCUCCCCAAGGACACAGAUGAAGGACAGAGAGGAGAAUCAUAUGAUUUGCCUGCUUUGUCAAAGGGAGUCUAGCAGUCCCCGCUAACUGGAGCAAGAACCUGUCAGGGGGACAACUAUGGAGAAAAGAGCCCUGGAACGUGGCCUCUAGGAAAUAUCAUCACUCCUGUCCAAGAAGGAGGGUGCCAGGCAUUACCUGCAAUGGACCUCUUUCACUCCUGUCUCUGCAUUUACUACUGAGAAGAACCAACUAAUACACAUGCAGGGUUUAGAACUCAACCCUAUGUAAGAUGUGGAUCCUCUGAUGUAUGUAACAUGACUGAUCCAAUAGCUGGCACAAAGUAGGCCUCCAGUAGAUGUUAGUUGCUUCUCCUUUUGCAUCAUUUAGAACAUGCAUCUGGCUGCUAGUUAAGAGAGACUCAACACAAAUAAGAGAACAUUCGCACAAAUAAGAUAAUUGACAGUUUAAAGUGGUAAGAUGGCUUCACAGUGUCGUAGAAGUCCCAGCCUUCUAGCUGUUCCUGCCAAAUAGUCAUGUGCGCAAAGCCAUCUUGUACCCUCUAGACCAGGUAAGCUGCCACCUAAUGAUCCCAGUUGACACUACGUGGAACAGAAUUGCUCAGUCAAGCCUUGCUCAACUUCCUGAUUCAUA
Molecule: long non-coding RNA, 713 nt
Filed under: Equus caballus (horse)
Lineage: Eukaryota; Metazoa; Chordata; Mammalia; Perissodactyla; Equidae
Description: lncRNA (ENSECAG00000044107.1)
Source: RNAcentral